ACGGGUGCGUAACGCGUGGGAAUCUGCCCCUUGGUUCGGAAUAACAGUUGGAAACGACUGCUAAUACCGGAUGAUGACGAAAGUCCAAAGAUUUAUCGCCAAGGGAUGAGCCCGCGUAGGAUUAGCUAGUUGGUGAGGUAAAGGCUCACCAAGGCAACGAUCCUUAGCUGGUCCGAGAGGAUGAUCAGCCACACUGGGACUGAGACACGGCCCAGACUCCUACGGGAGGCAGCAGUAGGGAAUAUUGGACAAUGGGCGAAAGCCUGAUCCAGCAAUGCCGCGUGAGUGAUGAAGGCCUUAGGGUUGUAAAGCUCUUUUACCCGAGAUGAUAAUGACAGUAUCGGGAGAAUAAGCCCCGGCUAACUCCGUGCCAGCAGCCGCGGUAAUACGGAGGGGGCUAGCGUUGUUCGGAAUUACUGGGCGUAAAGCGCACGUAGGCGGUUAUUCAAGUCAGAGGUGAAAGCCCAGUGCUCAACACUGGAACUGCCUUUGAAACUAGAUAGCUUGAAUCCAGGAGAGGUGAGUGGAAUUCCGAGUGUAGAGGUGAAAUUCGUAGA
RNAcentral lists this ribosomal RNA (557 nucleotides) under uncultured Sphingobium sp. RNAcentral describes it as "bacterial SSU rRNA". It matches the Rfam family "Bacterial small subunit ribosomal RNA", at positions 102 to 694 of the family's 1533-position model. The record is from RNAcentral. Lineage: Bacteria; Pseudomonadati; Pseudomonadota; Alphaproteobacteria; Sphingomonadales; Sphingobiaceae.